This 29-nucleotide small RNA is filed under the name Bombyx mori (domestic silkworm). RNAcentral describes it as "piRNA piR-bmo-1891862". The record is from RNAcentral. Lineage: Eukaryota; Metazoa; Arthropoda; Insecta; Lepidoptera; Bombycidae.
UGAACUGAGUAUGAACACAACAACUAAGC